AGCAGCCGCGGUAAUUCCAGCUCCAAUAGCGUAUAUUAAAGUUGUUGCAGUUAAAAAGCUCGUAGUUGAAUUUCGGGGUCAGUAGGCUGGUCGUGCCACAGGUACGCACUGGUCUCACUGAUUCCUCCUUCCUGAUGAACCGUAAUGCCAUUAAUUUGGUGUUGCGGGGAGACUGGACUGUUACUUUGAAAAAAUUAGAGUGUUUAAAGCAGGCUAACGCUUGAAUACAUUAGCAUGGAAUAAUGAAAUAGGACGUUCGGUCUUAUUUUGUUGGUUUCUAAGAUUGACGUAAUGAUUAAUAGGGAUAGUUGGGGGCAUUAGUAUUCAAUUGUCAGAGGUGAAAUUCUUGGAUUUAUUGAAGACUAACUACUGCGAAAGCAUUUGCCAAGGAUGUUUUCAUUAAUCAAGAACGAAAGUUAGGGGAUCGAAGACGAUCAGAUACCGUCGUAGUCUUAACCAUAAACUAUGCCGACUAGGGAUCGGAUGAUGUUAAUU
This 495-nucleotide small RNA is filed under the name uncultured Glomus. Its description in RNAcentral is "SSU rRNA". It matches the Rfam family "Eukaryotic small subunit ribosomal RNA", at positions 569 to 1068 of the family's 1831-position model. Lineage: Eukaryota; Fungi; Glomeromycota; Glomeromycetes; Glomerales; Glomeraceae. The record is from RNAcentral.